This 19-nucleotide non-coding RNA is filed under the name Arabidopsis thaliana (thale cress). Lineage: Eukaryota; Viridiplantae; Streptophyta; Magnoliopsida; Brassicales; Brassicaceae. RNAcentral also lists the same sequence under 2 other names. The record is from RNAcentral.
CUUCGAUGUCGGCUCUUCC